GACGUAGGGGGCGAGCGUUGUCCGGAAUUACUGGGCGUAAAGAGCACGUAGGCGGGUUAAGAAGUCAGAUGUGAAAGACCGUGGCCUAACCACGGGGUUGCAUCUGAAACUUUUAAUCUUGAGGGCAGGAGAGGAAAGUGGAAUUCCUGGUGUAGCGGUGAAAUGCGUAGAAAUCAGGAGGAAUACCAGUGGCGAAGGCGACUUUCUGGACUGACCCUGACGCUGAGGUGCGAAAGCGUGGGUAGCAAACAGGAUUAGAUACC
RNAcentral lists this ribosomal RNA (263 nucleotides) under uncultured bacterium. RNAcentral's name for it is "partial 16S ribosomal RNA". It matches the Rfam family "Bacterial small subunit ribosomal RNA", at positions 524 to 786 of the family's 1533-position model. The record is from RNAcentral.